CCCCAUGCUGUCCCACUGACUUCGAAAUAACUGAGCAUGAAAUUCAUCAAUUCAAAGAGCUUUCAAUAGCACCAUGCCAGCGGACAUCACCUCCUCUCAGUAAAUCUACAUUGGAUGAAAACAGAAAGUCAGAAAAUAGCCUCUCAAAAGGAACCUCCUAUUAACAUGACUCAGUGAAAUUGGGUUUACAAAAGAAACUAAUGACCUCAGCUUCAAAAAUGCGGUCGUCAUAGCACCAUUCACCGUCAGACAAUUUAAGAGCUCUAACCUAGUUCAGUUUUCUCCUAAUAAGGGUUGGGUUAUGAAAAUAUUUGAUAUUGCGGUGUCCAACCAUGAGCCAUUCACUUCGAUUUCUGCCUCCAAAGAGUCUCUUUA
RNAcentral lists this long non-coding RNA (375 nucleotides) under Gossypium barbadense (sea-island cotton). Its description in RNAcentral is "long non-coding RNA (GBAR_LNC020652)". The record is from RNAcentral. Lineage: Eukaryota; Viridiplantae; Streptophyta; Magnoliopsida; Malvales; Malvaceae.